CACCCAACUCAGGUCAGGUCGCAGCUAGCUAGCAGUGUCGCUAAUUCAGCAAUAACCAGGAUGGAGUUACUGCAGAAAAAUGCCAGCCACCCUCGGGUCUCCCCCUAGGUACCCUUGUGAGGUUCACGCUGGAGCGGGGCUUUCAUCACAGUGUGGGCUGAUUAAAGAUCUGUGACUCUUGUGAAGUUUUGGACAAGGAGAACUACAACACAGUGAUCUGAGCGAUAACAGCGAAGCUCCAGCCUCUCACCUAAAUGUGGUCACUUCUGGUUCCAAAAAAAACAAGAUGGCGAUGUCCGAAAUGCUGAACACCAGGCUUCAAAAUGGGAGGCACUGCAGUAGCUGCUGCCGAGGCUGGGGAGGCUUCAGCCCAGUGCCUCCCGGCUCCCAUCGCCUGCGAGUCCCCUGGGAAGCAGCUGACUGGCACCCAGACUGCCAACCAGAUGAUGGAUCCUACCAGGAGAAUCAGACAUGACAGGGGGAGGUGAGGCUGCAGGACUGGCCACCACUGAACCUGAGGACGAGGGGCAAAUGCGGUCAGCUGCCUCAGCACUGUGUAUGUGUGUGCGUGUGUGUGUGCACGAGGGUGUGCACUUGUGUGUGCGUUUGUAUGUUAGCAUCUGUGUAAAUGCAUGUGUUUGAAUGCCCAUGUCUGUGGGUGAUUAUUUUGGCGCAUGCACUCAGGUUUGUUUUUUUUUUUUGUUUUUUUAGUUCUUCACUCCAGUCACACUCUCCAUCUGGACCUGAGGUAUUUCAUUAGCUGUGGGAUGUUACAUUUUAUUUUGAAAGCUGACAAAAUAUCAACAGAGUUUAACUCUACAUGUUUGUCAUGUCUGCUACUGGACCUUCCCAAAACUGUGACAGAUGCCAAAUGACAAAAAAAAUCAAGUUGAGAAGAAAUGAGUUAAUGAACAGAAGUGGAAGAAAUGAAACAUUCAGACGUGAUACAUCUGAUUUUGACGUUAAAUUCUUAGUCUGGUAAGCAGUGUAGCUGGCACCAACAGGUGAGUCCAUUAUAUCUCCAAUUUGUAAGUUUUCAAUUAUUUAGAAAUAAACGAAAGAAAGAAAAAGAAGUGUCUAAAAGCUUUUACUGGGCUCAGCAUAUUGUUUUGUCAUUUCUGGCAUGACCAGCUUGAUCUUGUGAUACCAGCUGGAUGAAAGCUUCAUUCUUGCCCUGCGGCGUCCUGCUGUGCCAUUGCCUCAACCAGACACUGUGAUGGUAAGUGACUGCUGUAAUUGUUCUGCUCCCAGCUCUUACACUUCAGCCAACCAACUGGCUCCUUCCUCCUGGUCGUGCCACAUUGCCCUCAUGGGCCGUCUUGGCAUGGACCCGCAGUAACAACCCCCC
Long non-coding RNA from Epinephelus fuscoguttatus (brown-marbled grouper), 1348 nucleotides. RefSeq lists it as uncharacterized. The record is from RefSeq and is a predicted model, not a curated record. NCBI's taxonomy places the organism in Eukaryota, Metazoa, Chordata, Actinopteri, Perciformes, Serranidae. The transcript has 5 exons.